Vigna angularis (adzuki bean) is the source of this 2844-nucleotide RNA transcript. It is a transcript of the gene named pentatricopeptide repeat-containing protein At1g77360, mitochondrial, with no coding region annotated. The transcript has 3 exons. The record is from RefSeq and is a predicted model, not a curated record. NCBI's taxonomy places the organism in Eukaryota, Viridiplantae, Streptophyta, Magnoliopsida, Fabales, Fabaceae.
UCCAUUCUUGCAUUUAGUAUGGAGUUGUAAAAAUGGUUUUGCUGACUAAGUUGUGUUUGUGAACAACAUCCAUUCACCACUCCAAUUCGAGAGAUUUCCGAACACAACGGCGGCUUCACCACUAUCAGCCACCAUCAAACCAUGGCGACCUGAAACUCGUUUCACAGAAAUACCAGUAAUUUUUCGGCAAUCGCCACUUUAGACUUGAGCAAUCGUCAUAUCCCGUUAGGGUUUGCAGACUCUCCAUUGUGGAGCUUGCUUCAGGUCAAUAAUUUGCAAGUCUUGCUUUGUCCGCGCAAUGAUUAAGCUUUGUUCCCAUAGAAAAAAUAUAUUAUCCAAAUGGGUAUUGUUUGCAAAAAUGCACAGCACAAGUGAGGCGAUUCAGGAGGUUGGAGAAGCGAGCGAGAGAGUGAGCAAGGUUAUGAUGACGUGUCCCACACUGGCACUUGACACUGCUCUUAAUCAAACUGGAGUUAAAGUUCCCCCUGAUUUAGUUGAAGAUGUUCUCAAACGAUUUGAGAAUGCGGGCAUGUCAGCAUUUCAGUUCUUUGAGUGGGCAGAGAAGCAGAGAGGGUACUCGCACAGCAUAAGGGCAUAUCACUUGAUGAUUGAAUCUCUGGCUAAGAUUAGACAGUACCAGAUCGUGUGGGACCUUGUUAAUGCCAUGAGGAAAAAGGGCAUGCUAAAUGUGGAGACUUUUUGCAUCAUGAUGAGAAAGUAUGCUAGGGCUAACAAGGUCGACGAGGCUGUUUACACCUUUAAUGUCAUGGAUAAGUACGAUGUGGUCCCAAAUAUUGCUGCAUUUAAUGGUUUGUUAAGUGCUUUGUGCAAGUCCAACAAUGUGAGGAAGGCUCAGGAGAUUUUUGAUGCUAUGAAGGGUCGAUUUGAACCAGACGCGAAAACUUAUAGCAUUUUGCUGGAGGGGUGGGGAAAAGCUCCCAAUCUUCCCCGGGCAAGGGAGGUUUUUGGAGAGAUGGUUCGUGCUGGGUGUGAUCCUGAUGUUGUUACUUAUGGUAUAAUGGUUGAUGUUCUUUGCAAAGCAGGGAGGGUCGAUGAAGCAGUUGAGGUUGUGAAGGAAAUGGAUGAGAGCAAUUGCAGGCCUACAUCUUUCAUUUAUAGUGUCCUGGUUCAUACUUAUGGAGUGGAGCACCGAAUUGAAGAUGCUAUUGAUACAUUCCAGGAGAUGGAGAGGAAGGGAAUCAAGGCUGAUGUUGUGGUUUAUAAUGCCUUGAUUGGUGCCUUUUGUAAAGUAAAUAAGUUUAAAAAUGUGCACAGGGUCUUGCAGGAGAUGGAGAUCAAUGGCGUUGCGCCGAAUUCAAGGACCUGCAAUGUUAUCAUAAGCAGUAUGAUUUGUCAGGGACAGACUGACAGAGCUUUUAGAGUUUUCCGCCGGAUGAUCAAGUUAUGUGAACCGGAUGCUGACACUUACACAAUGAUGAUAAAAAUGUUUUGUGAGAAAAAUGAUCUGGAAAUGGCUCUGCGAAUAUGGAAGUUUAUGAAGUCAAAACAAUUUGUUCCAAGCAUGCACACCUUUUCUGCCCUUGUCAAGGGGCUGUGUGAAAAAGGUGAUGCCGCAAAAGCUUGUGUUGUGCUUGAAGAGAUGAUAGAGAAGGGAAUUCGACCAUCACGUAUUACGUUUGGGAGGUUGAGACAGUUGCUUUUAAAGGAAGGGAGAGAAGAUGUGCUCAAAUUUCUUCAUGAGAAAAUGAAUCUUCUUGUCAAGGAGCCUUUACAUGAUUAAAAAAGAUAUGCGGAUACUGCCAAGUCCUUCCCAAAUAUAAAAUGCAUUGAUGAUCAAACAUUGUAUGCCAUGUCAUUGCUGAUGAGAUCACAAGACCAUUAUCCACUAGAUUUUCGAAUGUGACAUAAUGAUGUCCUUCAUGUUAUAGGAAAAACUUCCUCUAAAGUUAGAAUAUCUCUAAAUUAGCAUGGGUGUAUUCACCCUUUGAAUUUGAGUUAAGAUUUGAGGCUUCAUGAUUGAUGAAGUUUUAUUGGAAGUGAGCGGGGGUUAAAAGUAUUUGCUUUGGAUUUGUCCAUAGUGAAUUGGAAAAUAUCCUGAUUAUCAUUUAGUGAAGAAAAACCUUGCGCUAGUGGCUGUUCAUGAUCUCUGACAAAUCAGUGAUGUCACUUACCCUGCUGAUUGGUGCUUUCAUUUAUUAUGGCGGAAAAUAUGCUCAUGAAAGACUUGUCUUCGAUGUGAAGCGUUUGACGGACAUGAUGAAAGCUCGUGACAAGGGUUACUCUACUUGUUUCAAAACUAUAAAAUCAACAAUGGAGGAGGAUGCUAAAACGUGCUCUGUAGGUGGACUCUAGCUCUUCAAACACACCCUUUCAAGUUUGCAAUGUUAGACUGGUUUUUUUCUCGUUUUGAUGGAUUUGAUGUUCUCCAAUGGAUAUUUAAGGCCGAGUAAUAUUUUUACUAUUAUCAUCCACUUGAUGCACAACAAUUGACCAUAGUGAUGAUACAUUUCGAUAAAGACGUUGUGGUUCCAGAUGAUUCACGAUGGAAUGCUUUUCAAUCAUAACUUGUGUUCACUAGAGAUCUAGAAUCAGAGUUUGGACACUCCUUAUGAAGGCUCUCGAUCAAAUUUGUUCAAACUUACUCAAAUUAGUUUCGUACUAGAAUAUUAUACUGAAUUCAUAACUUUUAUUAUCGCAACAUUAAUCUGGAAUUUUCAUGUUUUGAUGGAUUUGAUGUUCUCCAAUGGAACUUUAAGGUUGAACAAUAUUUUGAUCAUUACCCGAGAAUGGGUUCUCUCACAUGUGAUGAAAUUUUUUUCUCCAACUUAUAGGUGUGCAAAUAAGCAAUACUUGUAUUUGAAAGAGGAUGGUAAUACUGACAUU